GACGAACGCUGGCGGCGUGCUUAACACAUGCAAGUCGAACGGAAAGGCCUGCUUUCCCUUGUGGAUUGCGGGUACUCGAGUGGCGAACGGGUGAGUAACACGUGAGUGAUCUGCCCCCAACUUGGGUAUAAGCCUGGGAAACUGGGUCUAAUUCCCGAUAGGACUGCAGGGUGGUGCCUGUGGUGGAAAACGAUUUUCUAGUGGUUGGGGAUGAGCUCGCGGCCUAUCAGCUUGUUGGUGGGGUAAUGGCCUACCAAUGCGGGGACGGGUAGCCGGCCUGGGAGGGUGGACGGGCACGUUGGGACUGAGAUACGGCCCAGACUCCUACGGGAGGCAGCAGUGGGGAAUAUUGCACGAUGGGCGGAGGCCUGAUGCAGCGACGCCGCGGGGGGAAUGACGGGCUUCGGGUUGUAAACUCCUUUCGGCCGCGAGGAAGCCACCUGGUUGGAAGGGUGGUGACGGUAGUGGUAGAAGAAGCACCGGCUAACUACGUG
This 494-nucleotide ribosomal RNA is filed under the name uncultured bacterium. Its description in RNAcentral is "partial 16S ribosomal RNA". It matches the Rfam family "Bacterial small subunit ribosomal RNA", at positions 28 to 507 of the family's 1533-position model. The record is from RNAcentral.